RNAcentral lists this ribosomal RNA (453 nucleotides) under uncultured Porphyromonadaceae bacterium. RNAcentral's name for it is "partial 16S ribosomal RNA". It matches the Rfam family "Bacterial small subunit ribosomal RNA", at positions 341 to 792 of the family's 1533-position model. The record is from RNAcentral. Lineage: Bacteria; Pseudomonadati; Bacteroidota; Bacteroidia; Bacteroidales; Porphyromonadaceae.
ACGGGAGGCAGCAGUGAGGAAUAUUGGUCAAUGGGCGGAAGCCUGAACCAGCCAAGUCGCGUGAAGGAUGAAGGUAUUAUGUAUUGUAAACUUCUUUAGCUGUGGAGCAAUAAUCUCCAUGUAUGGAGAGAUGAGAGUACACAGAGAAUAAGGAUCGGCUAACUCCGUGCCAGCAGCCGCGGUAAUACGGAGGAUCCGAGCGUUAUCCGGAUUUAUUGGGUUUAAAGGGUGCGCAGGCGGCUUUCUAAGUCAGUGGUCAAAUCGUGGUGCUCAACGCCAUCCCGCCAUUGAUACUGGAGAGCUUGAUUGCGGUCGAGGUUUGCGGAAUUCGUCGUGUAGCGGUGAAAUGCAUAGAUAUGACGAAGAACACCGAUUGCGUAGGCAGCUUACCAAGCCGUAAAUGACGCUCAUGCACGAAAGUGCGGGGAUCGAACAGGAUUAGAUACCCUGGUA